AAAUAGGCUAGGUUGGGAGGUUAGUGGUCUCUUGUAAAUACAAAUCCUCUAUAUGGUAUAAUCGAAGUUCAUUGGGAGGCAUAUUGCGUGUCUAUAAACCUAAUAACAUAAUGUCGAAGUUCCGUCCCGCAGGAUUGGUCGUAGUAGAGUUUUAACUGUAGGGUUAAAGUAAACUAUUUUAACUAAUUGAAUGGGUCAGGUCUGGAAAGAAGCAGCUCUGUUUUGGAGAGCCAAUGCUUGUGGAUCAACGGGGUGGAGUUAUGGAGUUAGAUCAUUUAUUUUCAUAAUGUAUGUCCACCUUUGAAUGUGCCUGUUA
Molecule: signal recognition particle RNA, 316 nt
Filed under: Methanobacteriaceae archaeon
Lineage: Archaea; Methanobacteriati; Methanobacteriota; Methanobacteria; Methanobacteriales; Methanobacteriaceae
Description: Archaeal signal recognition particle RNA
Rfam family: Archaeal signal recognition particle RNA
Source: Rfam by way of RNAcentral